GACAUUCCAAUCAGGGAGAACAGGGCCUGCCCUCACUUUCCCAUAGACAGAAGUUCCCGGGAGGCUGGGGAAGGACCUUGCCACUGGGGGUAGGUCGGGGACUCAGGCCUCGUCUCCGCACGUGCCAGGAGGCUGUAGCUGUGCUGUUUCCCGAGGGCCCCUCUUUGCACCUGGGGGUGGUGGCGAAUGCGGGGUCUCCUCCUGGAGGCUGCCUCCCUGUCUUUUUGGGCCUCCUCUGACCUUCCUGCUCUACUCCCCCUUGGGUGUGGGCAGGGCGGCCCAGAGCACCCACUCACCAGCCGGCCUCGUCCCUCAGUCCUCUCUCAGGAGUGCACGAAGUUCAAGGUCAGCAGCUGCCGGGAAUGCAUCGAGUCGGGGCCCGGCUGCACCUGGUGCCAGAAGCUGGCUCGCCCUACGCUCAGCCGUCUCCUUGGGCUUCUUGAAUCUGGACAAGUCCUCAGCUUUCUUUGUCUUUCCUGUCCUUGGGCGUUUCUGAGGAAGUCAGGAGAGCAGCUUUGUAGCAUGACCCUCGGGGGUCUUGUCUGGAGUUUCCUCUGCCUGGACUCAGGUGUGCUUU
RNAcentral lists this long non-coding RNA (577 nucleotides) under Homo sapiens (human). Its description in RNAcentral is "non-protein coding lnc-PTTG1IP-8:3". Lineage: Eukaryota; Metazoa; Chordata; Mammalia; Primates; Hominidae. The record is from RNAcentral.